Non-coding RNA from Oryctolagus cuniculus (rabbit), 8708 nucleotides. The record is from RefSeq and is a predicted model, not a curated record. Lineage: Eukaryota; Metazoa; Chordata; Mammalia; Lagomorpha; Leporidae.
CGCUCCGGGCCUGGGUGGGGAGCGGAGCUGACCAGGGCCAGGCACUUGGUGGAAGGAAACGGCCCCAUUCCUGCCUUGUGUUCCUGCCCACCAGGUGGCUCUGUUUGGGGUCCGGGCACCUCAUUAAAUCUGAUGUUAUUCAGCAAUGCACCUUCUCACAGCCAUGCUAAUCCGGACUGCUGCUAUUUUAGGCUUCUGCGGGAGGAAGGGCGCUGGGUAUCACAACCAGCUGCUCCCUUCUAAGGAACCUGUGGGAUGCAGGAAAGCCGCUCUGGACUGAUGGGUGGAGACAAGGGAGCUUCCAGUAUGAACAGGUUUAAAAAGAUACUUUAGAGUUGUAUGGUGAUUGGAUUUUUACUAGAGGAACGAGAGAGCUCGUGGCGUUUUAGGUCAUCAGAACUCAGUUCCGUUGCCCGCAUCAGUAAGAGUUGGACGUGAGUCUUUGCAACCAUUACAGGUGUGCCUGACUGUGGUCCUCCUGCUUCUGCACCAGAUCUCACCUGGAUGAUACCAUUGGCUGGAUUGGCUCAUGAAAGCCGAAAUCAGGCCCGUGAAGGAGGCUUGGUGCUGGCAGCUUUUUCUCUGCCAUGUAGCUGACAGCUUAAAGGCCGUGGAGUUGGAGUGCGUCUGGUCGGCUUUCCCUCAGCACAGUUCCCUGCACUUGGCUUUCCCUGAAACACAGCUGCCACCGUCUGUUAAUUCGGCAUCGGUCUCUGGUGGUUCAGUGCUUGAGAGUUCAGUGUCACCCAGGAGCUGGGAGACCGUUCACCACGCCCCUCCUUGGCAGAUCGUCCCUGGAAGUUUCUUGUGAUGGAGCAAGAGGCGAUCAGGUCUCAUCGUUAUUUCUGAGAUCUGGGGAGCUGGGGCUCAGAAAAACAAAGUGAUGCCCCGGCCACCCAGCUGGGGUUGGCGUAGCUGGGGCUCCCUCGCAUCUCUCAUGCCAGCAUGAAGUGAUGCCGUCUCACUCACGGUCCCUACCCUUUGAUUCACCUCAGCUGUAGAAGAGUGAGCUCGUGGGCAUCCCACCUAGGUGUGCAAGGGCAUCCUUGUCAAAGCCAUAUUAAAAAUAGAAGUGAACUCUCGCUGCAGCCUCUCAUUUGUUCACAUAUCUAUGUACCCUUUCUAAGAAAUUACUCAGGUCGGACUCUGUCUUUCAUAAAGCACGUGGCCUUAACCUUGACAGUACAUUUGUUCACAUUAGCCCUUGUGUAGUUUCUGCCUGGGCAGCUGUGGCCCUCUCCUUGGCGGUUGCACACUAGGAACAUUUGGUGCCCAUUGAUUAGAAAGUUGACCCUGGUGCCCCCCAAGCUAUCACAGGAGAAGCUGGGGACCCAGGAGGUCCCUAACUGCUUCUCCUCCCCCUUGUCUCUGUACUUGUUGGGUUUUGAGUGCCCAGGCAUACGGUCUUCAGACACGGGUGUCCUGUGUGCUGUGCUAAUCUGCAGGGCAGAGAGAUGUCCUGACCUGGAAGCCUGAGGGAGCAGAGCUGGGGGCACACGGCUCCUACAGACGCUCCAGAGGGAGGGCAGGCUAGCCGGUCACCGCUCAGCCCCUGCCUGAACGCCCAUGUUGACAUGGUGCUGAGCACGUUCCUGCCUGCUUUCUGUCGCUCCUACAGAACGUCCUGACUUGGUAGCUACUGCCUUCAGCUGUGCUUUGUGAAGGUCUCGGCUCAGGGAGCUCCGUAGCACACAACUGCUCUGAAGUCCAUCCCCUGACCACCCUGCCAAGCAUGCUCCAGCUUGCUUUGCCCUUCCUUUAGAGCUGCCCAAGGCUCUUCAUUUCUCUGUUCUCAUUGAGCUUUUAUCACAAGCCCAGCAGAAGCCGAACUCUGUUUUAUUGCACGUGGCCUCCAUGUUUGGGCUUGGAUUGGUAAUCUGGAGGCAGAGCCAUUCACCCUCCCACUGUCAUUCCCAGGCCUCCAAGGCUGUAGCAGACGCAGGCUGGCUUAAAAGACUCCGUUCUGAAUUCUCCCUCUCCCCUAAAGGCGUGCUUGUGUCUCUCAGAGAUCUUUCACCCCAGCCCAGGUCCAGAGACUUGUUGGGGUCUCCAGUGGUCCUGGGGAGGGGGAGCGCCACACCCUACCUGCUGCUCCAGUGUGGCCGGUGAAUGACAGUGCCACCGGCGAAUGACAGUGCCACCAGCGAAUGACAGUGCCACCAACAGCCUCAGGAAGCAUAUUUGGAGAAUGAGGAAGUGCUGGAUUUGAAGUCAGGUGACUCAUGCUUGUCAGUAGCCUCUGGAAGAUCAAGGGCCUUCCAGGGAGGGCCUGUGUGCCUGCAGGGUGGUGACAGGUGCAGCUGGCACUUCCAGGGCCUGCAAGGCCUGUCUCCAGAUUAAGACCAUUGGUAUCUGCGGGAUUACGGAGCUGGCACCAGAUGGCCCUGUUGGUGGCCUGUGUCGGAGGCCUGUCUGAAAGCUGGAGUCACAGUGGGAGGGCCGUGCAGGUGGGAUGGAUACACAGAGAAGGCCUGGGGCAGUGGGGGAGCUCCUCUAACAGGGAUCCCAGCAAGGAGGCAAGGAGAUGGGACAGAAGCAGGAAGCUGGUCAGGAGCCACAUCUGCCUUCCUGCCGCAGCCUAUGUGGGUCAGGCAUGAGUUAGAGCAAGGGACAGGUAGACAGGAAGAGCCAGGGCCUUCAAAACAAACCCAGCCGGUGACUCACCAGUGACCUUGGGCAAAGUCAGUUCCAUGGGAUCCUAUUACACAGUAGCUGCCUUCUUCCCUGAUGACUGGAGGGGACCGGCAAGCCAUGUGCACCAAAAUAAACAGGCCGGAGCACAACUGGAGGAGAGGGUGUGCCGUGCGUCUUGCCCAAGUGUUGUCCCCUGAACCACCAGGUCAAAUUUACAGACCCAGCCCUGUGUACCAUUUCUGUCCCACAAGUAAAGUCACCCGUGCAGCACCUCUGGGGCUUUGUUUGUCUAGCCAUGCUCUCAAGGGAGCUGGUGUUUGUGGCCUGCCCUGCUGUACUGCUGUCCGGGAAGGGAGGGGAGAAAGAUGCCGAGCUGCUGAGCCCAGGGGAGGCUCUGAGCUGCGUCCUGUACGCCCCGGGAACUGCCUGGCCUUCUUGGGUGCACAGAAAUCCUUUGAGGAAAGCCCGCCUGUUAGCGGGCAGGCUCUGGGGCAUCCAUGAGCACCCCCAGAGGGAAUUUCCUGUUUGCUUUCCCUACUGAACCGGAGGGUUUGUUUAAGUCACAGCUUUGGAACAGAGGAAAGCAGUUUAACGUUGAAACAAAAUGUGUUGGAGUUUUGGGUCAAAAGUCGCUUUUCGGUACCCCAUUUUCAGUCUGGUGGGCAGCCCCUGAGUCUGGCUUUGUGGGCCCCUUGUCUGGCCCACACUGAUUGAUGUGUGUCGUUGAAGUUUUGGGGCAGCAAGUAGAGGCACACCAGUGGCCGGGGCAGUCCCAGUACAGGGGGCUGCUGUGUCACAGCAUCGCGUCAGCUGACCCUCCCAGAAAGUGACCUGCUCAAGGUAACACAUAGCCUGUGGCCAGCCGAGGACUUGGCUCCAGGUCCAGAGCUCUGCUGGUGUCCUGAGCAUGUUCCGGAGCUGGACUGGAGGGCCUGAGUGCUGCCCAGGCUUCAACACCACCCCAAUAGGUUUCGUCCAGUAAUUGCCCAUGUGGACAUUCUUUGUUGCACAGUGGCCCAGACCUUUCUUGCCUUUUGUGUGUGUGUGUGUGUGUGUGUGUGUGAGAUUUCAUAGCCCACACGGUUCCUUUUGUAAGCUCAGCAGCUGCUGGCCUUGCGGGUUGCGGCUGCCUCUGACGGUAUCAGCUUCUGGCUGUUCAAACACAGCUCUUGAGGACUUGAUUGGUUCUCUCCAUCAGGGAAAAAUAAAGUGGCUGGCUCAGGGGCUGGGUGAUUCGGAGCUGCUCAGUACAGGGGAGCCCUCACUGACAUUUGGAGUCUAACUCUGUGUGACCUUGACAAAGUCAAGCUAAUCUCCUAGAGUUGGCUUUCAUCUGAGCUGUGUGAUAAACCACACCCCACACCCCGCCCCGGCCAGAGUGGACAACAAGGAUUCACAGAGAGAACUUUUUUUUUUUUUUUUUUAAGAUUUAUUUGUUUAUUUGAAAGACUUACAGAAAGAGAGAUCUAUCUUCCAUCUGCUGGUUCACUCCCCAAAUGGCCACAACAGUCAGGAGCCUAGAAUUCCAUUUGUGUCUCCCACAAGGGUGCAAAGGCCCAAGCACUUGGGCCAUGAUCCACUGCUUUUCCAGGCCAUUAACAGGGAGCUGGAUUGUAAUCGGAGCAGCCAGGACUUGAACCAGUGCCUAUAUGGGAUGUCAGUGUUGCAGGCAGCAGCUUAACCCACUAUGCCACAAUGCAGGCUCCAGGAACAUUUUUUAAAAAUAGCAUUUGUUAAAAGAUUUAUCUAUUUAUUUGAAGGGCAAAAUGACGCAGAGAGAGGGAGAACAGAUUUUCCAUCCGCUGGUUCACUGCACAGAUGCCCACAACAGCCAGGGAUAGGACAGGCUGAAGUCAGGAGCCAGGAACUCUAUCCAGGUCUCCUACGUGGGUGGCAGGAACCCGAGUGUUUGGGCAUCAUCUGCUGCCUCCCAGGCACCUUAGUGGGAAGGUGCAUUGCAGAUGUGGAGUAGCAGGACUUGAACCAGGCAUUCUUCCUUGGGAUGUGGUCGUCCUAAGCAUAACCACUGCAUCACAACAUCCACCCCAAACUUUUUUUUUUUUUUUUUUUUUUUUUGACAGGCAGAGUGGACAGUGAGAGAGAGAGACAGAGAGAAAGGUCUUCCUUUGCCGUUGGUUCACCCUCCAAUGGCCGCCACGGCCGGCGCGCUGCGGCCGGCGCACCGCGCUGAUCCGAUGGCAGGAGCCAGGAGCCAGGUGCUUUUCCUGGUCUCCCAUGGGGUGCAGGGCCCAAGCACCUGGGCCAUCCUCCACUGCACUCCCUGGCCACAGCAGAGAGCUGGCCUGGAAGAGGGGCAACCGGGACAGAAUCCGGAGCCCCGACCGGGACUAGAACCCGGUGUGCUGGCACCGCUAGGCAGAGGAUUAGCCUAGGGAGUCGCGGCGCCGGCCACCCCAAACUUUUGAUUGAUCUGUGUGUGCAAAGUAGCUCCAGCAGUGUUUGUUCUGGGGUCGGUCAGAGGACACCUGGAAGGAGAGGGACGUCACCUGUGAAGCUUUGUACCGUGUAUCUGUCCUCCACUGGAAUAAGUGUGUUACUGGCCAGCAUUGUGGAGAGACGGGCUAAGCUGCUGCUUGCAGUGCUGGCCUCCCAUAUUGGAGCGCCAGUUUCAGUCCUGGCUGCUUUGCUUCAGAUCCAGCUUCCUGCUGACGCGCCUGGGAAGACAGCAGACGAUGGCCCAAGUGCUUGGGCCCCUGCCACCCAGAUGCGAGUCCAGGAUGCUCCUGGCUCCUGACUUCUACCAGGCCCAGAGCUGGCUGUUGUGGCCUUUUUGGGGUUUGAAGCAGUGGAUGGAAGUUUCUCGCCCUCCCUCCCUCCUGCUCUCCUUCUCUCUCUCUCAGUCUUUCCCACUCUCUCUGUCACUCUGAGGGUGGGAAAUAAUAAAUUAAUAAAUAAAUCUUUAAUAAAAAUAAAAUAAGUGGCACAGUGUAUAUCGUAAGUGUACAUUUUUAAGGACAACAAAGACUUCCUGUGCUCACCACCUAGCAGAAGAAUCCAAGUACAGGCCUUCUGAAGUCCCACAUGUCCCCAUCCUCAGAGUGCCAGGGGGCAUUAAGUAAGGCAAAUGCCAUCCCAGCCAGCCGCAGAGCAGCGGGUGACGCGAGCCCGUGCAGCCUGCCUCUGGCCGGUCAUGCUCAGAGGCACUGAGUGGGCACUUUGGUUCUGUUGGUACCUGCCACGUGCCACUUGGGCCCCAGGAAGAACUAUCGCAGGGAGUUUUUAACAAUGUUCCAAGUAAAGGCAGGGGUUAGUCCUGUCUCCUAGAGCUUUUCUUCCAGUGAGGACCUGUGGGUGUCUGGACUGUGCAGGCCCAUAGCACUGAGGCUGUGUGGGGUUAGAUUAAACAAAGGCUGGUGCUGGCGCUGGCGCUGGCGCUGGCGGGGCUCCCGCACAGGCAAGCUUCCUGACAGUAGGCAGUUGCUCAGCCUGGAUGCCUGGUCCCAAAACAGAUGGUCCGUAGACAAGAAUGGGGGACCUGGUGCCAGACACAAGCAUGAGGACCUUGUUUGAGCCCAGGCAGCAUCUGCUGAUGGAUUUAACCCUGAGGCAGGCUCCACAUGCAUGGUCACACAGGUCCAGGGGCUCCUCCUACGCAGGACACCCUGGUGUUGAGUUUGCUUGCUUAGGUUUAGGUCCUCUGCCCAGGUUCUUGAACUUUACAUCAGUUCAUCUUUGGAGUCUGGGAUCAGUGGGGUUUUUUGUUUUGUUUUGUUUGCUGUAUAAGGCUGGGACCACCUGCAGGGGAUUACCUGGACUGCAUUUUGAACUCUAGAUUCCAAGGCCCUGCUCCAGACCUACAGUCGGACUGUCUGGGGAUCAGGGAACAUGUUUUCAGCUGUCACCCCCAUAAUUCAGAUGUGCACUAAACUCCUCAUCACUGCUCCAACUCUUAGCCCAAGGUCAGGAUUUGGGAAAGAAACCUGUAGUCCGAAUCUUGCCAGCCCUUUCCCGAGUUUCCUAAAUCACUUGAUGACCCACGGGCCUGAGGAGAGGAGAGCUUGUCACAGGUUGGAAGACAGGAGGGAACAAAAUGAAGGCCCAUUUCCUACUUUCAUUAAGGCUUGAAAUACUUAAUCCUGGCCCGCUUUCUUCCUGGAUCACCCUUUAUUGUAGACUUCCGGGAGCUGUAGCAGUUUGCAUAAGCAUCAAAGGAGACCAACAGUGUGUUUUGUUGAAAUUAAAAAAAAACGGGGGGCCGGCGCUGUGGCACACCAGCUUAACACCCUGGCCUGAAGUGCCAGCAUCCCAUAUUGGCGCUGGUUCGAUUCCUGGCUGCUCCUCUUCCGAUCCAGCUCUCUGCUAUGGCCUGAGAAAUCAGUGGAAGAUGGCCCAAGUCCUUGGGCCCCGCACCCAUAUGGGAGACCCGGAAAAAGCUCCUGGCUCCUGGCUUCGGAUCAGCGCAGCUCCGGCCGUUGCGGCCAUCUGGGGAGUGAACCAUCGGAUGGAAGACCUCUCUCUCUCUCUCUCUCUCUCUCUCUCUCUCUCUCUCUCUCUGUCUCUCUGUCUCUCUGUCUCUACCUCUCUCUGUAACUUUGCCUUUCAAAUAAAUCUUUAAAAAAUUUUUUUAAAAAAUUGGGGCUGGUGUGGUGGUACAGUAGUUACUCCUCCGUCUGUGGCACCGGCAUCCCAUAUGGCGCCGGUUCUAGUCCUGGUUGGUUGCUCCUCUUCCAAUCCAGCUCUCUUCUGUGGCCCGGGAAGGCAGUGGAAGAUGGCCGAAGUCCUUGGGCCCCUGCACCCACAUGGGAGACUGGAAGAAGUUCCUGGCUCCUAGCUUUUCGGAUCAGCUCAGCUUUGGCUGUUGCGGCCAUUUGGGGAGUGAACCAACAGACAGAAGACCUUUUUCUCUGUCUCUCCCUCUUACUGUCUAUAACUCUAUCUCUCAAAUAAAUAAAUAAAAUCUUUAAAAAAAAAUCAGGGCUGGUGCUGUGGCAUAGUAGGUUAAGUCUCUGCCUGCUGUGCCAGCAUCCCAUGUGGGUGCCAUGUUCAAUCUCAGCUGCUUCACUUCUGAUCCAGCUCUCUGCUGUGGCCUGGGAAGGCAGUAGAGGAGGCCCAAGUCCUUGGGCUCCUAUACCCACAUGGGAGAGCCGAAAGAAGCUCCUGGCUGCUGGCUUUAGAUUGGCCUGGCUCCAGCCAUUGCAGCCAUCUGGGGAGUGAACCAGCAGAUAGAGGAUCUCUCAGCCUCUCUCUCUCCUUUUCUCUCUGUAACUGUACCUUUCGGAAAAAAAAAUUUUAAAAGAUGCUGUUGAAGUCCUGGAAAGGCACGGAGGUUGCCCCGUGUGAACGGUGUGUGUGUGCCAUCCUGGGGCUCUCCCUUCACCUCAGCCUUGGGGUGCCUUGAAUGGCGUGUCUUCUGCUUCUGGGUUUCCUUCCUGGUUUUGGUGGAGUGAGCACCCCCGGUGCUGUCAGUUCCUGAGCCUUCUGGAGCUUUAUGGUACAAGCGUAGCUGAUGCUUUGCUUUUCCCCUGCUGGCUUUUUUCCUCACCUCUAUCAAGUCUAGGUCUGUUCUUUCCAGUUUUCAGAAUUUUGUUUUGUACCUCUUUUUCCUUUCAUAUGGUUUUAUGCCUUUUUGUAAUGUUUUCUUGGGGUCAGUGUUGUGGCACAGUGGUUCUCUACCCCCACCCUGUCAGUCUGCCUUUCAAAUAAAUAAAAUAAUCCUUUUAAAAAAAAAUUUAUUUAUUUACUUGAAAGGCAGAGUUAGCCAGCACCGCGGCUCAAUAGGCUAAUCCUCCACCUAGCGGCGUUCUAGUCCCGGUCGGGGCGCCAGAUUCUUUCCCGGUUGCCCCUCUUCCAGGCCAGCUCUCUGCUGUGGCCCGGGAAGGCAGUGAAGGAUGGCCCAGGUGCUUGGGCCCUGCACCCCAUGGGAGACCAGGAGAAGCACCUGGCUCCUGCCUUCGGAUCAGCGUGGUACGCCAGCCAUAGUGUGCCAGCCGUGGCGGCCAUUGGAGGGUGAACCAACGGCAAAAGGAAGACCUUUCUCUCUGUCUCUCUCUCUCACUAUCCACUCUGCCUGUCAAAAAAAAAAAAAAAAAAAAAAAAAAAAAAAAAAGGCGGAG